Molecule: long non-coding RNA, 191 nt
Organism: Drosophila navojoa
Lineage: Eukaryota; Metazoa; Arthropoda; Insecta; Diptera; Drosophilidae
Source: RefSeq, a predicted model, not a curated record
GAGCAGAGAGAGAGAGAGAGAGAACGCGAGCGAUCAAACUGAGUGUUUCUUCAGAGGCUGCUGCACUUUUGCACGUGCGUGUGUGUUGCUGUCUCGCUGCUGCUAGAAGCACUACUGAAUGCCAAAGCACCUGUCCGAGCAGCGCCAUGCAAAAGCACUCAAAGAAACACUCGAACCCAAACUGAGCUGUG